UACGGAGGGUGCUAGCGUUGUUCGGAAUGACUGGGCGUAAAGGGCGCGUAGGCGGCUUGGCAAGUCGGGUGUGAAAGCCCGGGGCUCAACCCCGGAACGGCCUCCGAUACUGCCUGGCUCGAGACCGGGAGAGGAGGGUGGUAUAUCCAGUGUAGAGGUGAAAUUCGUAGAUAUUGGAUGGAACACCAGUGGCGAAAGCGGCUCUCUGGCCCGGAUCUGACGCUGAGGCGCGAAAGCGUGGGAGCAAACAGG
This 252-nucleotide ribosomal RNA is filed under the name uncultured bacterium. Its description in RNAcentral is "partial 16S ribosomal RNA". It matches the Rfam family "Bacterial small subunit ribosomal RNA", at positions 524 to 776 of the family's 1533-position model. The record is from RNAcentral.